This 641-nucleotide ribosomal RNA is filed under the name uncultured Crater Lake bacterium CL0-47. Its description in RNAcentral is "bacterial SSU rRNA". It matches the Rfam family "Bacterial small subunit ribosomal RNA", at positions 8 to 672 of the family's 1533-position model. The record is from RNAcentral.
AGAGUUUGAUCAUGGCUCAGACGAACGCUGCGGCGUGCUUACACAUGCAAGUCGAGCGAUGAACACCUAGGGUGUGAAUUAGCGGCGAACGGGUGAGGAACACGUGAAGAAUCUGCCUUCAACUCUGGAUAACUCCGGGAAACCGGGGCUAAUACCGGAUAUGAGCCUUGAUCGCAUGAUCGGGGCUGGAAAGUUUUUCGGUUGAAGAUGACUUCGCGGCCUAUCAGCUUGUUGGUAGGUAAUGGCUCACCAAGGCGACGACGGGUAGCCGGCCUGAGAGGGCGACCGGCCACACUGGGACUGAGACACGGCCCAGACUCCUACGGGAGGCAGCAGUGGGGAAUAUUGGGCAAUGGAGGAAACUCUGACCCAGCGACGCCGCGUGAGGGAUGAAGGCCUUCGGGUUGUAAACCUCUUUCAGUAGGGAAGAAGCGAAAGUGACGGUACCUACAGAAGAAGCACCGGCUAACUAUGUGCCAGCAGCCGCGGUAAUACAUAGGGUGCAAGCGUUGUCCGGAAUUAUUGGGCGUAAAGAGCUCGUAGGUGGUUCGAUACGUCGGAUGUGAAAAUCAGGGGCUCAACCCCUGACCUGCAUCCGAUACGGUCGAGCUGGAGUUUGGUAGGGGAGACUGGAAUUCCUG